CCUACGGGGGGCUGCAGUGGGGAAUAUUGGACAAUGGGGGCAACCCUGAUCCAGCCAUGCCGCGUGUGUGAAGAAGGCCCUCGGGUUGUAAAGCACUUUCAGUGAGGAAGAACGCCUGGUGGUUAAUACCCAUCAGGAAAGACAUCACUCACAGAAGAAGCACCGGCUAACUCCGUGCCAGCAGCCGCGGUAAUACGGAGGGUGCGAGCGUUAAUCGGAAUUACUGGGCGUAAAGCGCGCGUAGGUGGCUUGAUAAGCCGGUUGUGAAAGCCCCGGGCUCAACCUGGGAACGGCAUCCGGAACUGUCAAGCUAGAGUGCAGGAGAGGAAGGUAGACUUCACGGUGUAGCGGUGAAAUGCGUAGAGAUCGGGAGGAAUACCAGUGGCGAAGGCGGCCUUCUGGACUGACACUGACACUGAGGUGCGAAAGCGUGGGUAGCAAACAGGAUUAGAUACCCCUGUAGUC
This 465-nucleotide ribosomal RNA is filed under the name Vreelandella stevensii. RNAcentral's name for it is "partial 16S ribosomal RNA". It matches the Rfam family "Bacterial small subunit ribosomal RNA", at positions 338 to 795 of the family's 1533-position model. Lineage: Bacteria; Pseudomonadati; Pseudomonadota; Gammaproteobacteria; Oceanospirillales; Halomonadaceae. The record is from RNAcentral.